This 232-nucleotide ribosomal RNA is filed under the name uncultured bacterium. Its description in RNAcentral is "partial 16S ribosomal RNA". It matches the Rfam family "Bacterial small subunit ribosomal RNA", at positions 524 to 755 of the family's 1533-position model. The record is from RNAcentral.
UACGGGGGGAGCAAGCGUUGUUCGGAUUUACUGGGCGUAAAGGGCGCGUAGGCGGCGCAACAAGUCACUUGUGAAAUCUCCGGGCUUAACCCGGAGCGGCCAAGUGAUACUGUCGUGCUAGAGUGCGGAAGGGGCUACUGGAAUUCUCGGUGUAGCGGUGAAGUGCGUAGAUAUCGAGAGGAACACCUGAGGUGAAGACGGGUUGCUAGGCUGACACUGACGCUGAGGCGCG